Molecule: ribosomal RNA, 406 nt
Filed under: uncultured bacterium
Lineage: Bacteria
Description: bacterial SSU rRNA
Rfam family: Bacterial small subunit ribosomal RNA
Source: RNAcentral
UGGGGAAUAUUGCGCAAUGGGCGAAAGCCUGACGCGGCGACGCCGCGUGAGGGACGAAGGCCUUCGGGUUGUAAACCUCUUUCAGCAGGGACGAAGCGAGAGUGACGGUACCUGCAGACGAAGCCCCGGCCAACUACGUGCCAGCAGCCGCGGUAAUACGUAGGGUGCAAGCGUUGUCCGGAAUUAUUGGGCGUAAAGAGCUCGUAGGCGGUUUGUCGCGUCGGCUGUGAAAACCUGGGGCUCAACCCCGGGCCUGCAGCCGAUACGGGCAAACUAGAAUUCGGUAGGGGAGACUGGAAUUCCUGGUGUAGCGGUGAAAUGCGCAGAUAUCAGGAGGAACACCGGUGGCGAAGGCGGGUCUCUGGGCCGAUAUUGACGCUGAGGAGCGAAAGCGUGGGGAGCGAAC